RNAcentral lists this ribosomal RNA (253 nucleotides) under uncultured bacterium. Its description in RNAcentral is "partial 16S ribosomal RNA". It matches the Rfam family "Bacterial small subunit ribosomal RNA", at positions 524 to 776 of the family's 1533-position model. The record is from RNAcentral.
UACGUAGGGUGCGAGCGUUAAUCGGAAUUACUGGGCGUAAAGCGUGCGCAGGCGGUUCGCUAAGACCGAUGUGAAAUCCCCGGGCUUAACCUGGGAACUGCAUUGGUGACUGGCGGGCUAGAGUAUGGCAGAGGGGGGUAGAAUUCCACGUGUAGCAGUGAAAUGCGUAGAUAUUCGGAGGAACACCAGUGGCGAAAGCGACUUUCUGGGACAUUCCUGACGCUGAGGUUCGAAAGCUCGGGGAGCAAACAGG